GCAUUGGUGGUAAAGUGGCAAGCAUAGCUGCCUUCCAAGCAAUUGACCCGGGUUCAAUUCCAGGCCAAUGCA
RNAcentral lists this transfer RNA (72 nucleotides) under Megalops atlanticus (tarpon). It matches the Rfam family "tRNA". Rfam says of the family: Transfer RNA (tRNA) molecules are approximately 80 nucleotides in length. Lineage: Eukaryota; Metazoa; Chordata; Actinopteri; Elopiformes; Megalopidae. The record is from Rfam by way of RNAcentral.